RNAcentral lists this ribosomal RNA (1162 nucleotides) under Photobacterium angustum. RNAcentral's name for it is "bacterial LSU rRNA". It matches the Rfam family "Bacterial large subunit ribosomal RNA", at positions 1 to 1210 of the family's 2925-position model. The record is from RNAcentral. Lineage: Bacteria; Pseudomonadati; Pseudomonadota; Gammaproteobacteria; Vibrionales; Vibrionaceae.
GUUGUAUGGUUAAGUGACUAAGCGUACACGGUGGAUGCCUUGGCAGUCAGAGGCGAUGAAGGACGUAUUAACUUGCGAUAAGCCCAGAGAAGGUAGUAAAAACCGGUGACUCUGGGAUUUCCGAAUGGGGAAACCCACUUACAUAAGUAAGUAUCGUGUUGUGAAUACAUAGCAGCACGAGGCGAACCGGGGGAACUGAAACAUCUAAGUACCCCGAGGAAGAGAAAUCAACCGAGAUUCCGGUAGUAGCGGCGAGCGAAACCGGAUUAGCCCUUAAGCUAGUUUUGCGUUAGGUGAAAGUUCUGGAAAGUUCUGCGAUACAGGGUGAUAGCCCCGUAACCGACAACGCAUUAUCAGUGAAAACGAGUAGGACGGGACACGUGAUAUCCUGUUUGAAUAUGGGGGGACCAUCCUCCAAGGCUAAAUACUCCUGACUGACCGAUAGUGAACCAGUACCGUGAGGGAAAGGCGAAAAGAACCCCUGUGAGGGGAGUGAAAUAGAACCUGAAACCGUGUACGUACAAGCAGUAGGAGCCCACUUGUUGGGUGACUGCGUACCUUUUGUAUAAUGGGUCAGCGACUUAAUUUUAGUAGCAAGGUUAACCGUUUAGGGGAGCCGUAGGGAAACCGAGUCUUAACUGGGCGUAAUAGUUGCUAGGAUUAGACCCGAAACCGAGUGAUCUAGCCAUGGGCAGGUUGAAGGUGAGGUAACACUUACUGGAGGACCGAACCGACUAAUGUUGAAAAAUUAGCGGAUGACUUGUGGCUAGGGGUGAAAGGCCAAUCAAACUCGGAGAUAGCUGGUUCUCCCCGAAAGCUAUUUAGGUAGCGCCUCGGACGAAUACUACUGGGGGUAGAGCACUGUUAAGGCUAGGGGGUCAUCCCGACUUACCAACCCUUUGCAAACUCCGAAUACCAGUAAGUACUAUCCGGGAGACACACGGCGGGUGCUAACGUCCGUCGUGAAGAGGGAAACAACCCAGACCGCCAGCUAAGGUCCCAAAGUUAUAGCUAAGUGGGAAACGAUGUGGGAAGGCUCAGACAGCCAGGAUGUUGGCUUAGAAGCAGCCAUCAUUUAAAGAAAGCGUAAUAGCUCACUGGUCGAGUCGGCCUGCGCGGAAGAUUUAACGGGGCUAAGCUAUACACCGAAGCUGCGGCAAUG